GGUUGAACCGAACCCAAACCGAGCCCGUAAGCCCAACCGAGCCCUUAUUAAUGAGACAAUCAGCGUCUCCUUCUUCUCCAACUUAACAUAUCCACGCUGCAACUUGAAGAGAGGAAAGGGAGAGCUUUCCAAACCCUAGCCCCUUUAAUCAAACUACCAUAACUUUUCGUUCCGAGUUUCGAUCGCUGCACCAUUUGCGGCUAUGCGUUCACCGCGUCGAACUCUACAAUUCUAUCGGAUCAAUUUUGCUAGUAAUCUUCUCCCUCAAUCCAGUUUCUCUACCCCUUAAUUAUCAAAAAUUGUGGGUGCUCAAGUUGAAGAAUUUGUUGAUUUUGGUUCUCUAGGUUUGAAUUAGCUUGCGGAAUUCGACUCUCUUGAUCUGUGGGUAUGGUGUAUAAAUAAACAUAUUGGAACUUGAAUUGUGGACAUUGGAGGUUUGGUGAAGAAUCGGUGCCAAGUCUUGGUGAUUUUGGAAUUGUGGGGCUGUGUUUGGCUUCGGAUAAUACAUGAAAAAGCAGUCAAGAUGCAGGUCGAGAGGCUCCUCGCUAAGCGUCUGGGUUCUGGAAGCGGAAUAGUCCUGGGUGUAUUUUGGGCUUUAUGUUUGUAUAUAUAUAACUUAUGUACUUAGCUUGCUCUCCAAGAUACUUGAUUAUUUUGUUCCUCAUAGAGGUUACAGGAGGGCUAGGGUCCUUUUUCUGUAUUUUGGGUAUUUGGGAUACUUAUGUAUGUAUAUGUAUAUAUUCUCUGGCCAGCCUUGGCUUUGCAAGCUGAGUCAGGGGCUAGUUUCACUGUAUUCUUGACUCUCUUUUUGCUCUUUCGUUUAUUCAUGUCUUUAACUUUUAGAUUU
Arachis ipaensis is the source of this 847-nucleotide non-coding RNA. Lineage: Eukaryota; Viridiplantae; Streptophyta; Magnoliopsida; Fabales; Fabaceae. The record is from RefSeq and is a predicted model, not a curated record.